ACGGUGUUAUUUUGGAUGCAGUAUUUGCAGCAUACUGCACUCUGACUGCAAUUUAUUUUCUUAAUGGGAAUGAUGGCUGCGGAGACCAAAGAUUACCAGAGGGAUUUUCAGGCUGAACUGAUGGGAAAUCCAUUUCGAUGACAGCUGAGAAGUGAUGGAAUACCAGUGAUUUUUUUCCUUCACAACAACACGGAAGAUCCUCAAUUAGAGGUGGUACAGAAUCUAUUUCCACCAACAUGCGCUUCCUAGCCCUAGCUCUGCACAAGGUGAAGGUUAUCUGGAGUCAUUCCACAGUGCCCUGUUGAAAAAUACCCCAAAGCUGGGACAUUUUGGGUACACAAGCACGAGGGAGCGGACACACCUUGUUAUGGUUAUGGAGAACAACACGAUUGUGGGACAGAAACCAGCAAGGGACACUGAAAGGAGAUGUGCAGAACCAUCAAAUCUACCAGACGAGCUAAAU
Coregonus clupeaformis (lake whitefish) is the source of this 463-nucleotide long non-coding RNA. RefSeq lists it as uncharacterized. The transcript has 4 exons. NCBI's taxonomy places the organism in Eukaryota, Metazoa, Chordata, Actinopteri, Salmoniformes, Salmonidae. The record is from RefSeq and is a predicted model, not a curated record.